Molecule: ribosomal RNA, 440 nt
Filed under: uncultured bacterium
Lineage: Bacteria
Description: partial 16S ribosomal RNA
Rfam family: Bacterial small subunit ribosomal RNA
Source: RNAcentral
CCUACGGGUGGCAGCAGUGGGGAAUAUUGGACAAUGGGGGAAACCCUGAUCCAGCGACGCCGCGUGAGUGAAGAAGUAUUUCGGUACGUAAAGCUCUAUCAGCAGGAAAGAAAAUGACGGGACCUGACGAAGAAGCCGCGGCGAACGACGUGCCAGCAGCGGCGGUAAGACGUAGGGGGCAAGCGUGAGCCGGAUUUACUGGGUGUAAAGGGAGCGUAGACGGCAGCGGUAGUCUGGAUUGAAAUGCCGGGGCCCAACCCCGGAACUGCUCUGGAAACUGUGAAGCUGGAGUGCAGGAGAGGUAAGCGGAAUUCCUGGUGUAGCGGUGAAAUGCGUAGAUAUCAGGAGGAACACCUGCGGCGAAGGCGGCUUACUGGACUGUAACUGACGUUGAGGCUCGAAGGCGUGGGGAGCAAACAGGAUUAGAUACCCCAGUAGUC